GACGAACGCUGGCGGCGUGCCUAAUACAUGCAAGUAGAACGCUGAAGGAGGAGCUUGCUUCUCUGGAUGAGUUGCGAACGGGUGAGUAACGCGUAGGUAACCUGCCUGGUAGCGGGGGAUAACUAUUGGAAACGAUAGCUAAUACCGCAUAAGAGUAGAUGUUGCAUGACAUCUGCUUAAAAGGUGCAAUUGCAUCACUACCAGAUGGACCUGCGUUGUAUUAGCUAGUUGGUGGGGUAACGGCUCACCAAGGCGACGAUACAUAGCCGACCUGAGAGGGUGAUCGGCCACACUGGGACUGAGACACGGCCCAGACUCCUACGGGAGGCAGCAGUAGGGAAUCUUCGGCAAUGGACGGAAGUCUGACCGAGCAACGCCGCGUGAGUGAAGAAGGUUUUCGGAUCGUAAAGCUCUGUUGUAAGAGAAGAACGAGUGUGAGAGUGGAAAGUUCACACUGUGACGGUAUCUUACCAGAAAGAGACGGCUAACUACGUG
Molecule: ribosomal RNA, 495 nt
Filed under: uncultured bacterium
Lineage: Bacteria
Description: partial 16S ribosomal RNA
Rfam family: Bacterial small subunit ribosomal RNA
Source: RNAcentral